CUCAUUUAGUUUACAUUCUGGUUUUUUUCCAGAUAUGUAACAUGAUACCAUAACUAUCCCUUGUGAGCUCUGACAAGAUAGGAAGGCAGCCUUAGCCGGACAUGGAUGAAUCUGGAAACCAUCAUUCUCAGCAAAUUGAUACAAGAACAGAAAAUCAAACACCACAUGUUCUCACUCAUAGGCGGUGUUGAACAGUGAGAACACAUGGACACAGAGAGAGUAUACUUCCCUGCCUCUGUUACUUUGGGACUAUUCCUGUGAUUUGCUUUGAUCAGUGGAAUGUGAGCAGAGAUUAUUCAAGCAGAAGCUUUAAAUGGAACUACAGAAUUAGAAUUUGGUUUGUCUAUUGUGAUUGGUGAUUCUCCAUGAGAUUAUGCCUUGGAUAGGCUUUAGUUAAUGAAAACAGAAGCAUCCAUGGAGCAGAUAUAAACUCAAUGCACAGCCUGUGCUAAACUGAGAAAAUCUGCAGCUUAAAGAUGUAACAGCCACUGUCAAUGCACAUACUGUGAGAAAAAAAUGAGAUAAAUGAAUGUUUAUUGCUUUAAAUUGCUAAGUUUUGCAUUCUUGUUAAGCAGCAUUGUUGUGAUAUUAGUUGACUGAUGUAUAGCUCAAGUUAUGGGCAUGAGUGAUUCUGCUACAUAUUGCCUAUUUCCAACCAUUUGGGAUACUGUCUUUUUCACUUCUACCAGCAGUAUAAGUGUGUUUUUAUUUCCAUCGAGUCUUGUAAACAGAAUGUAUUAUCCAAA
Long non-coding RNA from Callithrix jacchus (white-tufted-ear marmoset), 746 nucleotides. RefSeq lists it as uncharacterized. The record is from RefSeq and is a predicted model, not a curated record. NCBI's taxonomy places the organism in Eukaryota, Metazoa, Chordata, Mammalia, Primates, Cebidae.